CAAACUCUUCGGGGCAAGGUGAAAUUCCUUACCGGCGGUGAUCGAGCAUAGCUCGUCAGUCCGUGACCCGUCCUUCCUUGCUUGGAAGGCGGUGGAGCUGGUGAAAUUCCGGCACCGACAGUUAUAGUCUGGAUGGGAGAAGUUGUUU
Sporosarcina psychrophila is the source of this 148-nucleotide non-coding RNA. Lineage: Bacteria; Bacillati; Bacillota; Bacilli; Caryophanales; Caryophanaceae. The record is from Rfam.